UCCAAGGUGAAUAGCCUCUAGUUCAUAGAAUAAUGUAGGUAAGGGAAGUCGGCAAAUUAGAUCCGUAACUUCGGGAAAAGGAUUGGCUCUGAGGGCUAAGCAGAAUGAGUAUUGGUUAGGAAACGGCUUGUGGUGCAUGGGUUUGUUGUGCUUUCGGGUGUGAUGAAUGUGUGUACUAUGAAAAGGGCCCUACUAGUAUUAACGCUGCAAUGAAUAGCUAACUCAGAACUGGUACGGACAAGGGGAAUCCGACUGUGAAUGUACGAGUCUUUCAAGGUGAUGAAGGAGGAUUGGGGGAGAUAAUGUGCGCCAUGCAAUCGCGACUUCCACCGAUCCCUCCGUUACGGUGUUGGUUGGAAAGGGCUCAAAGAGU
RNAcentral lists this non-coding RNA (373 nucleotides) under Blastocystis sp. ATCC 50177/Nand II. RNAcentral describes it as "Blastocystis sp. ATCC 50177 Eukaryotic large subunit ribosomal RNA". It matches the Rfam family "Eukaryotic large subunit ribosomal RNA", at positions 1866 to 2159 of the family's 3401-position model. Lineage: Eukaryota; Bigyra; Opalinata; Blastocystidae. The record is from Rfam by way of RNAcentral.